Rhododendron vialii is the source of this 1941-nucleotide RNA transcript. It is a transcript of the gene named haloacid dehalogenase-like hydrolase domain-containing protein At4g39970, with no coding region annotated. The transcript is spliced from 12 exons. The record is from RefSeq and is a predicted model, not a curated record. NCBI's taxonomy places the organism in Eukaryota, Viridiplantae, Streptophyta, Magnoliopsida, Ericales, Ericaceae.
UACAACCGAACAGACAACUUCUCCCACCACACAAACGAUACCCGCCAGAACUCCCACACUUCAUUCAUGGCCUCCACUAGCACAACUCUCCUCGUCCCUCUCACUCCCUCUCUCUCUCCUCGCUUCUCUCUCCUCACCUCCUCUCUCUCUCCUCUCCGAACCACCGCCACAAGAACCACCAGGAUUAAACCACUGUCAGUGUCGGUUUCCUCGCGGUCACUGCAAGCUCUGAUAUUCGACUGCGACGGCGUGAUACUGGAGUCCGAGCACUUGCAUCGACAGGCUUACAACGACGCUUUCUCUCGCUUCGACGUCCGUUGCCCCUCCUCCGCCACGUCUCAGCCCCUCAACUGGGACUCCGACUUCUACGACGAGCUCCAGAAUCGAAUCGGCGGCGGAAAACCUAAGAUGCGAUGGUACUUUAAGGAGCACGGUUGGCCGUCUUCUUCUAUAUUUGAGAAACCUCCAGAGGAUGAUGCUGCCAGAGCGAAGUUGAUUGAUACUAUUCAGGAUUGGAAGACUGAAAGGUACAAAGAGAUUAUCAAAUCUGGAACUGUGGAGCCUAGACCUGGAGUUUUGAGACUGAUGGAUGAGGCAAAGGCUGCGGGUAAACAACUAGCAGUUUGCUCUGCUGCAACAAAAAGUUCUGUCAUACUAUGCCUAGAAAACCUUAUUGGAAUGGACCGGUUCCAGAGUCUUGAUUGCUUCCUUGCAGGCGAUGAUGUGAAAGAAAAGAAGCCUGAUCCUUCAAUUUAUUUGACAGCUGCUACGAAGCUGGGUGUUUCAGGGAAAGAAUGUUUGGUGGUGGAGGAUUCUGUUAUUGGGCUACAGGCUGCCACAAGUGCUGGGAUGUCAUGUGUUAUUACAUAUACUCCAUCUACAGCUAAUCAGGAUUUUGAAGACGCAAUAGGAAUCUACCCUGACUUGAAUAGUGUAAGAUUGAAGGACUUAGAGUUGUUGCUUCAAGAUGAUGUUGCUGCGACUUAGGGAACUAACAGAUUCCGUUGCUCAUAGCUCGUCUGCUCUGGUUGUUACUUGCUUUUAACAGAUUGCAGAUACUGGAACACAGCUAGUUUCCAGGUGACACGCUUAGGAGCGCUCAAGGGAAUUAUUAAGUACCUUUGAAUGGGACAAUUCCUUUUUCGAUAAGUUCAGGGUAUUGAAGAUAUCCCAUGAGUCCACAAGCUGAGGCAGUCCAAAACUGAACCUCCGGAAUCCCCAAUUCUUCUGCAGCUUCUCUCCCGAAGCCCAUGACUCCAUCAGAAACCACAUACGAAACCUGAGGCAUUCCUGCUGAUGAAUUGAGCUCGGUCAAUAAAGCCCGAAACGGCCCCAAACAAUUUGUUCGGAGUGAAGCGCAGAGCGCCACAGGGUCUUGAGUCGCAUCACGAUCGGAUGGCGGAAGCCCGUCUGGAAUUGUCUUGAACUGGAAACCGACAUAGCCCUCGACGUACUCUGGUCCUCUAGACCGGACCAAGCGUUUGUGGUUGAAUUCUGUGUUGACAUAGGUGAUGAAGAAGCCUAUUGAGUGCAGAAGUUGGGCUAGUUUCAUCAUGGGGGUUACAUGCCCUUGUGCCGGAAAAGGUACACAAACUGCAUGGGGCUUUCUUUCUGAUGUUUCGGUACUCAUAGUUACAGUGACUAAAAGCCUCUGUUGAAGCAAAGCUAACUAUAUGUGGUUCUUAAAUAACCAAAAAUCUCUCGAGCAUGUCCUGUCCAAUUGUGCCUCUGUUCUCCAGGUCCAACUCCCAUCUCUUCAGAUUAGUUUUGGCCGGAAAUAUUUUUUGUAGGGAAAAGUAAGAACCAAGAACGUGGCUUAAGUGGGUUGCUUGAUCAAGUAAGACAAAAGUGGCCUCGUCAGGGUUGAGUAAACUACAAUUUAUUUGGUGGAAAACCAUUUCAAUAAAGUCCACCGAAACCAUCGGAAACCUAUAUUAUACU